CGGGAGGCAGCAGUGGGGAAUAUUGCACAAUGGGGGAAACCCUGAUGCAGCGACGCCGCGUGAGCGAAGAAGUAUUUCGGUAUGUAAAGCUCUAUCAGCAGGGAAGAUAAUGACGGUACCUGACUAAGAAGCCCCGGCUAACUACGUGCCAGCAGCCGCGGUAAUACGUAGGGGGCAAGCGUUAUCCGGAUUUACUGGGUGUAAAGGGACCGUAGACGGCAAGGCAAGUCUGAUGUGAAAACCCAGGGCUUAACCCUGGGACUGCAUUGGAAACUGUCUGGCUCGAGUGCCGGAGAGGUAAGCGGAAUUCCUAGUGUAGCGGUGAAAUGCGUAGAUAUUAGGAAGAACACCAGUGGCGAAGGCGGCUUACUGGACGGUAACUGACGUUGAGGCUCGAAAGCGUGGGGAGCAAACAGGAUUAGAUACCCUGGUAGUCCACGCCGUAAAC
RNAcentral lists this ribosomal RNA (448 nucleotides) under uncultured bacterium. RNAcentral's name for it is "bacterial SSU rRNA". It matches the Rfam family "Bacterial small subunit ribosomal RNA", at positions 342 to 807 of the family's 1533-position model. The record is from RNAcentral.